GAAACAGUUGCUAAGACUGGAUAGGAAAUAAAAAGGCAUCUUUUUAUUUUUAAAAGACCUUUUUCGGAAGGUAUGCUUAAAGAGGGGCUUGCGUCACAUUAGUUAGUUGGCAGGGUAAAGGCCUACCAAGACUAUGAUGUGUAGCUGGACUGAGAGGUUGAACAGCCACAUUGGGACUGAGACACGGCCCAAACUCCUACGGGAGGCAGCAGUAGGGAAUUUUCGGCAAUGGAGGAAACUCUGACCGAGCAACGCCGCGUGAACGAUGAAGUAUUUCGGUAUGUAAAGUUCUUUUAUUGAAGAAGAAAAAAUAGUGGAAAAACUAUCUUGACGAUAUUCAAUGAAUAAGCCCCGGCAAACUAUGUGCCAGCAGCCGCGGUAAUACAUAGGGGGCGAGCGUUAUCCGGAAUUAUUGGGCGUAAAGGGUGCGUAGGCGGUUUAAUAAGUCUAUAGUUUAAUUUCAGUGCUUAACACUGUCCUGCUAUAGAAACUAUUAGACUAGAGUGAGAUAGAGGCAAGUGGAAUUCCAUGUGUAGCGGUAAAAUGCGUAAAUAUAUGGAGGAACACCAGAGGCGUAGGCGGCUUGCUGGGUCUUUACUGACGCUGAGGCACGAAAGCGUGGGGAGCAAACAGGAUUAGAUACCCUGGUAGUCCACGCCGUAAACGAUGAGUACUAAGUGUCGGGAUUACUCGGUACUGAAGUUAACACAUUAAGUACUCCGCCUGAGUAGUACGUACGCAAGUAUGAAACUUAAAGGAAUUGACGGGACUCCGCACAAGCGGUGGAUCAUGUUGUUUAAUUCGAAGAUACACGAAAAACCUUACCAGGUCUUGACAUACUCUGCAAAGCUAUAGCAAUAUAGUGGAGGUUAUCAGAGAUACAGGUGGUGCAUGGUUGUCGUCAGCUCGUGUCGUGAGAUGUUAGGUUAAGUCCUAAAACGAGCGCAACCCUUGUCAUUAGUUGCCAGCAUGUCAUGAUGGGCACUUUAAUGAGACUGCCAAUGAAAAAUUGGAGGAAGGUGAGGAUCACGUCAAUCAUCAUGCCCCUUAUGAUCUGGGCUACAAACGUGAUACAAUGGCUGUUACAAAGAGUAGCUGAAACGCAAGUUUAUAGCCAAUCUCAUAAAAGCAGUCUCAGUUCGGAUUGAAGUCUGCAACUCGACUUCAUGAAGUUGGAAUCGCUAGUAAUCGCGAAUCAGCAUGUCGCGGUGAAUACGUUCUCGGGGUUUGAACCCCCCGCCCGUC
Molecule: ribosomal RNA, 1245 nt
Filed under: Candidatus Phytoplasma sacchari
Lineage: Bacteria; Bacillati; Mycoplasmatota; Mollicutes; Acholeplasmatales; Acholeplasmataceae
Description: bacterial SSU rRNA
Rfam family: Bacterial small subunit ribosomal RNA
Source: RNAcentral